Long non-coding RNA from Triticum aestivum (bread wheat), 883 nucleotides. RefSeq lists it as uncharacterized. The transcript has 3 exons. The record is from RefSeq and is a predicted model, not a curated record. Lineage: Eukaryota; Viridiplantae; Streptophyta; Magnoliopsida; Poales; Poaceae.
CUUGUCUCUGUCAGGAACGACAGCGCCAUGGAUCCCGAUGUGAAGCUUCACUGCAGCCUGAUCUGACCUGGGAGGGGGUCGCGUUGCGCUCGGGCGCCGCAUCAGGUGGCGGUGGCGAGGUGGGAGGGGAGCACGGAGAUGGGCGCGCGGAGACGAAGGAGGAGAAAAAUGGAGAGGCAGGGAGGCUACGCUCGGGGUCCGCAUCAGGCGGCGACAGCGAAGCGGGAGGUGCGCACGGAGACGAAGGACCCGAGAAUGGAGGCGUCCGGGAGCGAGGACUUCGCCGGCGUCAAAGCCACUGCCAGGCGGGACGCGCAGGCGCGCGAGGGGCGCAUGGCUCCUCUCCUGGUGCGGCACACGAGGGAAUGAGGUGGGGAUCAAGCUGCCGGCACACCACCCGCCGUUCACCCUUGCUCCACACUUCGUCGGAACUCCAUCUGUUGGUUCUGCACUUAGAAUCAUCGGACUAUAGAUUAUUGAUCAUGCAUGAAACGUUUUAAAGGAAGUGAAUCUACAUUUGCAUGCUCGGUUUGAAGACUUGCCAGCUGGGUGAAGAAGCUUUCUGACAAACAUCCAAAUCACUCUAAUAGGCCCAAGUUGAGCAUAUGUUAGAUGGUCUGGAUGACAUGGAUGGUGCCGAGGAUGUCCCUUUUGAUGAGCUCAUAGGCAUGCAAGGCUUAGUAUUUCACUUGGUUGAGAAUGCAAUUACAAUAUGUAUUACAUACAAGUCUGAUGGAUUCAAGAGAAUAAAGAGUAAAUAAUACUAUACUAUAAAUACGUCAACUACAGAUAACCCUCCCAACUACAAUGUUGCACCUGACAACCUCCUACUCAAUGAGGCCAAGCUAUCUGCAGGGGACCAUGCCCCUGGACGUUCCUAAGA